UUUUGUCUGCAUUAUGAAAGAGAAGACUCUUGAUAAUUUAAAAGACAGUCAUGAGAUUCUCAUUGUAACCUAGUUGGUUAAGAACAGCACCCCUCAGGUAUUCAAUGAUGAUACACGAUAUUUAAAGAUAUGUUUUCAUGUCAAUUUACAGUAGUUUCACGAGGUAAAGGAUACCAUGUCGAUAUCAACAUUAUAUUAUCUCAUCACCCAAAAUAACAUUUCG
This 223-nucleotide long non-coding RNA is filed under the name Helianthus annuus (common sunflower). Its description in RNAcentral is "sRNA HanXRQr2_Chr12g0543051". The record is from RNAcentral. Lineage: Eukaryota; Viridiplantae; Streptophyta; Magnoliopsida; Asterales; Asteraceae.